GGGGCCCGGCCUUUCCACUGGCAAGUCGACGAGAACCAGAGCUUCGGCUCUGGGGAAAGCGGCGAACGGGUGAGUAACACGUGGGUAAUCUGCCCUCGGCAUCGGGAUAGCCCGGGGAAACCCGGAUUAAUACCGAAUGGCCUCUCGCACUCUCGGGUGCGAUAGAAAAGGUGGCUUCGGCUUCUGGCCGAGGACGAGCCCGCGGCCGAUUAGCUUGUUGGUGAGGUAAUGGCUCACCAAGGCUCCGAUCGGUAGCUGGUCUGAGAGGACGAUCAGCCACACUGGGACUGAGACACGGCCCAGACUCCUACGGGAGGCAGCAGUGGGGAAUCUUGCGCAAUAGGCGAAAGCCUGACGCAGCGACGCCGCGUGCGGGAAGAAGGCCUUCGGGUUGUAAACCGCUUUCAGGAGGGACGAAGCCACUCGGGUUAAUAGCCUAGAGGGUGACGGUACCUCCAGAAGAAGCCCCGGCUAACUACG
This 480-nucleotide ribosomal RNA is filed under the name uncultured Thermoleophilum sp. RNAcentral's name for it is "bacterial SSU rRNA". It matches the Rfam family "Bacterial small subunit ribosomal RNA", at positions 39 to 505 of the family's 1533-position model. The record is from RNAcentral. Lineage: Bacteria; Bacillati; Actinomycetota; Thermoleophilia; Thermoleophilales; Thermoleophilaceae.